CCACAGACUUUCUCGUUCAUACGAUCCCAAGUUUCUUCAUCACACAAGUGUCUUUUAUUUUUCAAAACAACAUCGAGAUCGAUUUGAAUAAGGGCAUCCAUAACUUCGCGCCUCUACAUACUGAAGUUGAUUUUCCCAUCAAACUUUUCAUCAUCGAUCUUUAGGCCUCCUAUAAUAGGUGUUGAAUAGUGAUUUAACAAAUCUCACCUUCCACCUGAAGUGUCUCCUAAAAUAGUUUGGGUAGAUAUCAUCCUAAUUCUGGAAGUUUCACCUUCUACCAUUUUGUCAACAAACUAUUUCCACUUGAAAAACAACCUUUAUGAUGUUAAUUUUACGUGAAUAAAUACACCAGGAAAGUUUCCAAGAGAAUGGAGGGGUCAACCACUUAAAACCCAGACUCUUUAGGCUCUUAUCGCCUUGUUGACAGAACUUUCCUAGACAUGCAAAAAUACACACUAAUUACAAUAGAUUGUCUCCCAAGUACAAAUGGUCGUCUCCAUCGUAUUCGUGGACAGUAUCGUACAUGAACAAUACCAUUUACAGGAAUAGUAUUGUAUACGUGAACAGUUCUGUAUGCCCCUAAGUACGAAUCGUUGGCUCUGAUACCACUUGAUGUGCAUGGGAAUGCAGAAUCAAGUGUACCAAAUAAUUACAGAAAAAUAAAGUACACAAGAAUUACGUGCUUCGGUAAUUAUUCCUACGUCCAUGGAAGUAAGAGAAAAAUAAUUGUAUUACUAACAAUUAUUGGAGUACAAUAUUUGAGUAAUGAAAACCUCACUUCCCAAACCCCAAAUGCACCCAAAGCACUCUCACACACACUCUUCAAUUGCUCACACUCUCAGAAUUCUAGAAUUACUUUACUUGCAAUUUAUUUUAAGCUCUCAAAUUUUGGGAUGAUUUCCAAGUGAAGAAUGCAUCUCUAUUUAUAGCCAAAAUGGUUGCACUGUCGCACCAAACCCUUGGUCAAAUUGUCAAUUAAAUUUGCAACUAAAUUCUUCAAAAUUGACAAACACAUGCAUGCGGUGCCAACUUCCUCCAAAUCAUCAAUUAUGCAUGUGGCUUACCUUUUCUUUUCAACCAAUUUGGAUAAACAAAUCACCAAAUUUGACUUUUCAACAUUACCCAUGACUUAAUUUCAGUUGAUGUGAGAUAAUGCCCUUAACGCCUUUUGAUACCAUAUAAAAAAAUACAUAUUGUGAUACAAUCUAAAUCACAUGUUUAAUCUAUCAAAAAAUAAAAUAAAUUACAUGCAUAAAAAUAUUAAGAAAUUAAUUUGACAAAAUUAAUCUAUGUAGUUUAGGUUCGACCUUCAAGCAUCGUCAAGAGAAAAAGGAAAAUUUAUGCUUCAAAUACAUCCCUUAAAAUAAGGGAAAUUUGUCCAUUUUCCCUAUUAAAAUUAAUAUAUACUAUUUACUCUAUACUAUUUUCAUAAUACCAAAUAACCCUCCUAGAGCUAUAGUUUU
Molecule: long non-coding RNA, 1463 nt
Filed under: Citrus x clementina
Lineage: Eukaryota; Viridiplantae; Streptophyta; Magnoliopsida; Sapindales; Rutaceae
Description: Citrus clementina (C. clementina) long non-coding RNA (CCLE_LNC002422)
Source: RNAcentral